UACAGGCUUAACACAUGCAAGUCGAGGCGUAGCAUUUUAGUUUGCUUGCAAACUAAAGAUGGCGACCGGCGCACGGGUGAGUAACACGUAUCCAACCUGCCGAUAACUCGGGGAUAGCCUUUCGAAAGAAAGAUUAAUAUCCGAUGGCAUAUCAGUCCCGCAUGAGAUUGAUAUUAAAGAAUUUCGGUCAUCGAUGGGGAUGCGUUCCAUUAGGUUGUUGGCGGGGUAACGGCCCACCAAACCGACGAUGGAUAGGGGUUCUGAGAGGAAGGUCCCCCACAUUGGUACUGAGACACGGACCAAACUCCUACGGGAGGCAGCAGUGAGGAAUAUUGGUCAAUGGCCGAGAGGCUGAACCAGCCAAGUCGCGUGAGGGAUGAAGGUUCUAUGGAUCGUAAACCUCUUUUAUAAGGGAAUAAAGUGCGGGACGUGUCCCGUUUUGUAUGUACUUUAUGAAUAAGGAUCGGCUAACUCCGUGCCAGCAGCCGCGGUAAUACGGAGGAUCCGAGCGUUAUCCGGAUUUAUUGGGUUUAAAGGGUGCGUAGGCGGCCUUUUAAGUCAGCGGUGAAAGUCUGUGGCUCAACCAUAGAAUUGCCGUUGAAACUGGGGGGCUUGAGUAUGUUUGAGGCAGGCGGAAUGCGUGGUGUAGCGGUGAAAUGCAUAGAUAUCACGCAGAACCCCGAUUGCGAAGGCAGCCUGCCAAGCCAUUACUGACGCUGAUGCACGAAAGCGUGGGGAUCAAACAGGAUUAGAUACCCUGGUAGUCCACGCAGUAAACGAUGAUCACUAGCUGUUUGCGAUACACUGUAAGCGGCACAGCGAAAGCGUUAAGUGAUCCACCUGGGGAGUACGCCGGCAACGGUGAAACUCAAAGGAAUUGACGGGGGCCCGCACAAGCGGAGGAACAUGUGGUUUAAUUCGAUGAUACGCGAGGAACCUUACCCGGGUUUGAACGCAUUCGGACCGAGGUGGAAACACCUUUUCUAGCAAUAGCCGUUUGCGAGGUGCUGCAUGGUUGUCGUCAGCUCGUGCCGUGAGGUGUCGGCUUAAGUGCCAUAACGAGCGCAACCCUUGCCACUAGUUACUAACAGGUAAAGCUGAGGACUCUGGUGGGACUGCCAGCGUAAGCUGCGAGGAAGGCGGGGAUGACGUCAAAUCAGCACGGCCCUUACAUCCGGGGCGACACACGUGUUACAAUGGCGUGGACAAAGGGAAGCCACCUGGCGACAGGGAGCGAAUCCCCAAACCACGUCUCAGUUCGGAUCGGAGUCUGCAACCCGACUCCGUGAAGCUGGAUUCGCUAGUAAUCGCGCAUCAGCCAUGGCGCGGUGAAUACGUUCCCGGGCCU
Molecule: ribosomal RNA, 1348 nt
Filed under: uncultured bacterium
Lineage: Bacteria
Description: bacterial SSU rRNA
Rfam family: Bacterial small subunit ribosomal RNA
Source: RNAcentral